This 5858-nucleotide long non-coding RNA is filed under the name Capsicum annuum. RNAcentral's name for it is "long non-coding RNA (CANN_LNC002855)". The record is from RNAcentral. Lineage: Eukaryota; Viridiplantae; Streptophyta; Magnoliopsida; Solanales; Solanaceae.
GGGUGACGAAAAGAACAUGCAAAUCAAAUCAACGAAAACAAACAUACAAUUGAGGAAUCAAGUCGUAUGGUAGUUAGAUCUGGGGGUAGCAUCGCUGGUUCACGAUUGCUGGAGGAGGUCUUCUUUGGCUGAUGAUGGAGAAGGGAGGGCGACGGAUAGGAGGCCGCAGUGGCGCUGUUCGUCAGUGGAUCGUGGCAGAUCUGGAGAGGUAAAGUUGGAGCGGUGUCUAUGGCUGUUUUCGCUGGGGAUGNNNNNNNNNNNCUGGUUGUUGAUGGUAUGGUAGAUCUGGGCGGAUGAGGCAGUGAUGGCUUUCUGUCGUCUAGCGGCUGGCGGCGUUAGCUUACCAGAGGAGGCGUCGGCUCGGGCUUCGAUGGAUUUUUGGUGUUGCAUGGCGUGAAAGAGGUCACCGGACUUAAUGAUUUCACCAGAAAAGGAGGACGAGAGGGGAGGGGCGGCGGUUGGAGGGUUCCAGAGAGAAAGAGGAGAGAUAGAGAGAGAAAGUGGGGGUGGUGCGGUUGUUGUUGUUUUGAAUGAAAUUGGGGUUUAGGUUGUAGUAUUUAAAAGAAAGGAAGUGGAUCUUUGAUCUCAGUCGUUGGAUCUGUUUUGAUUGACAGCUGAGAUUUAAAGUUUGAGCCAAAAUUUAAAAAUAAUUUAAAAUUGAAUUUUAAAUUAGCUAAAACUGUAAUGAAUUGAAUGAAAUUGGGUUAAAAGAUAAAUAAAUUUAGGCAAAGUAAUUUUAAAUUAGGUUGUUAUUUAAAUUCUAGUAGGGAUAAAUAAUAAUAAUAAUAAUAAUAAUAAUAAUACAACAUUAGAUAAUGUAUUUGAAAAAUGCGAGUGUGCACAAUUAUGUGAAAAAUAAUUUAAUAAAUAUUAAUAAAAUUACAUAAAAUAUUGUAUAUAAAUUUAAAAAUUAUAAAAAUGAUACUAAAAGAUAAUAAAAUAAUUUAUGUAUUUUUCUAAAUUAUGAAUGUGAUACGUCUGUAUGUAUUCAAUGUAAGAAUAAUAUGUAAAAAAUAUUAAUAAUUAAAAUUAAAUAAUUUUGAUAAAAAUAGCCGUCUAGAAGUAAUUUUAGAGGUCAAAAUUAGAUGUAAACACAGAUAUUCUAUAAUAUAUAAUUAACACUAACUCUCUGCAAUAGUGCCACUUUAGUAUUCCUGAAAAAAAAAUAGAAAACAGCCAACAGUGGUUGUGCUACUUUUUAUAUUCAUAAAAAAUUAACAAAAGUUAACUUCAUUGGAAAGCGUGAAAUCAAGAAACAGUGGCAUGCGCCACUGCAUACUUUUCCCUUAAUCCAAUUUUUCUUCCACCAAAAUUAUACAUAUUAUAUUCCUACGUACACAUUAAAUAUACGAACCUGAAAUUCGAGUUAUGCAACAACAGUACUUCCUUUUCCUUUUCUUUUCUCUAUAUUCUAAUAAAUUUAACAUAUAAUACCUUGUCUGAUAAUCUAUUACCCUAAUCUCAUAUGUGACAGAAAAGAAAAUAAGGAAAUAGUGGAUAUGAUCCACUACUAAUUUUAAUAAAAUAAUAGUUUUACUAACCAUCUUUAAAUUAAUUAUUUUAAAUACUCAAAACUUCAAAUAAAUUAUCAAAAUUUAUUUUAAAUCCUAUAUAAAUAAAUUAAAUAUGUAAAUUGACUAAAAAGUGCAUUCUGAAUCUAUUGAAAUUACUAAAAUACUACUCUGGGAUCAUCUUGAUUGAAAAUUGACCGCGUUCGAAUUUAACUUUCUUUAGCUCAUAAUAACCCAACUAACGACUCAAUCACCUUCGUACACUUCAAAAAUUGAUAUUACUCAUACUGUGAGUCAUAAAUUCAUGUACGUAAACUAUGGAGAGAGCUAAAAUAAUGAAGAUGAAAAGAUUUCACGAACAAUCAGAAGGGUCGUUACAACUUAAGACAAUCAAGAAACUCCACGAAUAAUCCCACUCAAAAUCUCACUAGAAUGGCCUCACACGACCUCUAUGUCACUAUCAACUUCAUCGCUACAUCACCUUAUUGUUUCCUGUCCAAUCAAGCUUAAUCCUACCAAUUAACUGAUGUGGAGAACACAAAUCAUGCAAGUUCUGAAAGUAACAGAUUUGAUCAAAAGAGGAAAACCAACUGUUAGUCUUCAAUUGCCAUAGAUGGGAAGGACAAAGUUAUUGAACGAAUAGAUGUUAUAGAUUUGGGUAGUGCUUAGGAAGAGAAGGGUGUGUUGUUGAGAACAUGGAUCUCAAGUAGCAUGACUAAGGAGAGGAUGUAUCUCAUUAUGGUAUAUUAUACGACCAAAGAGAUGUGGAAAUGCUUGGAAGAAACAUAUCUCAAAAAAACUAAGGACAAGGAAUUUCAGCUAAAGCAAUAAUUUCAAAACAUUAAGUUAGGAUCCAAGAAACUUGAUUAAUAUCUUAAAGAAUUCAAAGGUGCAUGUUAUGGUUUUGCAACCAUUCACAAACCUGUCGAUGAGGAUAGCAAAGUUAUCAACUUUGCUAGAGGUUUAGGCAUUAAAUAUAAGACCUUCAAAACUGUUAUGCUUGGAAUGGCACCAUAUCCCAUACUCAGUCAGUUUGUCAAUGCACUAUGAGGCUUUUACAUGAGUGAAAAUGAUAAAGAAAUGCCAUAGGAAAAUCAUAAUAUGAAUUUCUUUACACAACGGAGCAGGGGCGGAAGAAGAAACAACUAAAAUUAGAAUAGAGGUAAUAAAAACUACACAAGGAAAGAGGUUUUAGGACUACUAUACAAGGAAACGACAAUCAAAAUAGUCAGAAUAUGCAGGCUUCAAACCAAACUAAGAAUAAAUAUUCAUCCUCUAAUUUUUGUCAAAUCUGUUCUAGGAAUAACUACACUACACUAACAUGAUUCUAGAGGUAGGACUACUCAUAUUACGCUGUAGAAAAAUUUCCUCAAGCCUUAGUAGAAGUCAAAUUUCAAAGCACAAUAACUGAGGAUAAUAUAAUAUAUGAAGACUCUGGAGAAACCGAUCACUUGACCAAUAACACAGGUAAUCUGUCUGAUCUUAAAACUUACAAAGGAACUAAUAAGAUUACUUUUGGAGAUGGAUCAUUUUUAAACAUUACACACAAUGGAAAUAAAACAAAGUCAGGUUUGAAAAUUAAAGAGACACUAGUAGUUCCUAAGAUAAAGAAGAACUUAUUGUUUGUUAGCAAGCUUGCAAAAGACAAUUGUUGUACUAUUGAGUUUGAUGGAUCUAAUUUUAUUGUUAAAUACAAAAAUUCAGGGAUACAAAUAUCCAAGGGAACUAGGAAAGAAGGAUUGUAUACAUUGAAAGAUAACAUCUAUGCCUUGACAGCACCCCAAACUGGAGGAAGACAAAUUGCAUUUGACAUGCUAGAUUAGAUCAUCCUAGUUUGAAGUCCUUAUAAUUUUUUAGUAGAAAUAAGAUUAUAGAUAUUAAGAGUUGGAAUAAAGUGCCUAUUAUUUGAAUUAGUUGUCAGUUGAAAAAAAGUUAUAAGCUUUCUUUUGCAUUGAGAGAUAAAAUUGAAAAGGAACCAUUACUCAAGAUUUAUUGUGAUCUUUAAGGUCCAGCCACUGUUGAAUCAUCUCAACAUAUGAAGUACUAUGCUAUAUUUAUGGAUGAUAACACAAGAUAUACUUGGUUGUAUCCAAUAAGAAAGAAUUCUAAAUUUUAUGUGACUUUCCUUAAUUUUCAAAAAGUGGUUUAAAAUUAAUUUUCAAAGCCAAUUAAGAUCAUUCAAUGUGACGGAGGUGGUGAGCUUAUUGGUGAUGAAUUCAUUAAAUAUUUUUAAAAUUGCAAAACUAUUUGACAAGUGUUAUAUCCCAAUACACCUAAACAAGAUGGUAUUCUGAGAGAAAACAUAGGCAUAUAGUAGAAACAGGUCUAACUCUACUCUUUCAUGCAAAAUUGUCUAUGUUUAUAUGGGCGAAAUUUUUUCUCACUAUAAUUUUUUUAUAAACAGACUACCAUCAUCAGUCCUGAAGAAUGAGAUACCUUUUGUUAAAAUUCAUGGGGAAUCACCUUUUGUUAAACUUCAUGGAUAAUCUCCUGAUUGUAAUAGCAUGAAAGUGUUUGGAUAUAUGUGUUAUCCACAUCUUAAGGGUCAGAGAAAGUUUGAAUCUAAAACUUACCCCUGUAUGUUUAUUAGAUACAACAGUCUACACAAAAGCUACAAUGUUAUAAACCAUCGACUAAGAGGGCUUUAUAUUAGACAUGUGGUCUUUUAUGAGAACAUACUUCCCUAUGUUCAGCUAGAAUAAUUUACUCCAGAUACUUUUUGUCUCGUAACUACCAUUUUUUAGUUUUUCAAUAUGCAGGAUGUGCCUCAAGCAAUGAGUGGUCACUUUAGAGGAAAUGUUGGACACCAAUACUACAUCAGAAACCUCUCAAACUAUUCCUAAUAAUAAUGAGUUUAUUGAUGAUGCACUAUCAAAAAACAAUGGCCAAGAUUCACUAGAAACUAGCUCAGAUGGUGAAGGUGAUAACUUUGUUGAUUUUGACACCCCUACAGGUGAUGAAACAUAGAAACCUGAUCAAACUUUAGUUUACAAUCUGCAAGGUACACAUUUAGAGUUGAUCUUUUAGGGUGGACGAUUAAAAUGAAGUCCACUUAAAAUUCGGAACCCUCUAUCACCAUUAAUAAGAGUGUAGAACUAGAAGUUUCUGACAACACAUCAAGGCAUUAAAUGAUGACUAAAUUAAAGACAAAGAAUGCCUCUCACACAAUCUAAUAGCAACUGAAAAAGUGGUAUCUAAUGAGCCUAAAAUUGUGGAUCAAGCACUUAGGAACCACAUUGGUAUGAAGUCAUGAAAAAUGAUGUUGAUGCUUUGCGUUGAGAUCAAACAUAAAUACUAGUAUUUAGAAAAGUAGAAAUGAAUAUGGUUAGAUCAAGAUAAGUGUUCAAAAUCAAGUUAAAGUCAGAUGUCUCAAUAGAUAAAUAUAAGUUAUGUUGGUUGCCAAAGACUUUUAUUAUCUUGAAAGAGUUUAUCUUUAAGAAACAUUUAACCCUAUUGUGAAAGCAACAAUAAUAAUGGUGGUACUAUUAGUAUUUGUUAGCAUACACUAGCCUAUUAGACAACUUAAUGUCAAAAAUGCAUAUUGCAUGGACAUCUAGAGGUAGAGGUUUACACGGCACAAUCACCAGGCUUUGUUGAUCCUCAAUUCCCAAGACAUAUCAGCUCUUUAAAGAAAGCACUAUAUAGUCUUAAAUAAGCUCCUAAAGCUUAGUUUGAUGGGUGCAACUCAUUUUUACUACAGAUUAGCUUCAAAUGCAAUAAAGUAGAUCCAUGUCUAUUUGUCUUACACUCCAAGAGAGGUACUAUUCUUCUUCUACUCUAGAUAUAGAUAACAGUGUGAUUAUAGGUAGCUCACUUACUCAUAUUCAGGAUAUAUUUACAGCACUUAGAAAAGAAUUUGCAAUGAAAGAUUUUGAUCCUCUUCAUUUCUUUUUUGGAAUUGAGAUUGUGUACUUUGAUAAAGGCAUUCAUCUAAAUCAAAUCAAACAUGACAAUGACAUUCUAAGAAAAAUUGAUAUGUCCAUGGUUAGAGAAAUUGCCAAACCACUGGCACAAAAGCAUAAAUUACAAGAAGCUUAAGGCAGCCCUGUGGAUGCUUCAGAAUAAAGAAGUAUUGUAGGCAGUCUUCAGUACCUCACAUUGACCAGGAUUGAUAUAGCUCAUGUAGUUAACCUUAUAAGUCAGUUCAUUCAAUCCUCAAACAUUAAACACUUGUAGGCGCUGAAAAGAAUCCUCAGGUAUGUGAGAGAGACAAUACAAAUUAGACUUAGGUUGAUUGGAAAAUCACCUGUGGGGCUGUAUGGAUACUCUGAUGUGGAUUGGGGUAGUUGUAACACAACAAUUAGAUCAACUAUAGGAAUACAAUAUACCUAGGUUCUAAUUUCAUUU